Molecule: unclassified non-coding RNA, 337 nt
Filed under: soil metagenome
Description: partial contains 5.8S ribosomal RNA, internal transcribed spacer 2, and large subunit ribosomal RNA
Rfam family: 5.8S ribosomal RNA (bases 1-120)
Source: RNAcentral
GAUGAAGAACGUAGCGAAAUGCGAUAAGUAAUGUGAAUUGCAGAAUUCAGUGAAUCAUCGAAUCUUUGAACGCACAUUGCGCCCCUCGGUAUUCCGAGGGGCAUGCCUGUUCGAGCGUCAUUUCAACCCCUCAAGCUUAGCUUGGUGUUGGGCUGCGCCAGCGUUGCUGGCGGGCCUUAAAAUCAGUGGCGGUGCCGUUUGGGCUCCAAGCGUAGUUGCAUCUCUCGCUCUGGAGACCCGGCGGUUGCUUGCCAGACAAUCACUAAAAAAACAAAAGGUUUGACCUCGGAUCAGGUAGGGAUACCCGCUGAACUUAAGCAUAUCAAUAAGCGGAGGA